CGUCAGCAAGAAAGCAUCCUUUGGGAGAUUAUUUGGAGAAGGUGAUGGCCAGUGGUUGGAGAACUUAGGACUUAAAGAGAGAGACUGUAGGUACGUCCAGGAACUACUCCAUCAUGUCACAGCAGUCUCUGCGGACAUCCUAGCCGAACAAGAAGCGUUGCAUACUGUGGAAGAAAAUGUGAUGAAACUUGAAAACGAACUUUUGGGUGAGUCACUGAAC
Limulus polyphemus (Atlantic horseshoe crab) is the source of this 220-nucleotide long non-coding RNA. RefSeq lists it as uncharacterized. The record is from RefSeq and is a predicted model, not a curated record. Lineage: Eukaryota; Metazoa; Arthropoda; Merostomata; Xiphosura; Limulidae. The transcript is spliced from 3 exons.